Molecule: ribosomal RNA, 879 nt
Filed under: uncultured bacterium
Lineage: Bacteria
Description: bacterial SSU rRNA
Rfam family: Bacterial small subunit ribosomal RNA
Source: RNAcentral
UGAACGCUGGCGGCGCGCCUAACACAUGCAAGUCGAACGGCACCUAUCUUCGGAUGGAAGCGAGUGGCGAACGGCUGAGUAACACGUGGAGAACCUGCCCCCUCCCCCGGGAUAGCCGCCCGAAAGGACGGGUAAUACCGGAUACCCCGGGGUGCCGCAUGGCACCCCGGCUAAAGCCCCGACGGGAGGGGAUGGCUCCGCGGCCCAUCAGGUAGACGGCGGGGUGACGGCCCACCGUGCCGACAACGGGUAGCCGGGUUGAGAGACCGACCGGCCAGAUUGGGACUGAGACACGGCCCAGACUCCUACGGGAGGCAGCAGUGGGGAAUCUUGCGCAAUGGGGGGAACCCUGACGCAGCGACGCCGCGUGCGGGACGGAGGCCUUCGGGUCGUAAACCGCUUUCAGCAGGGAAGAGUCAAGACUGUACCUGCAGAAGAAGCCCCGGCUAACUACGUGCCAGCAGCCGCGGUAAUACGUAGGGGGCGAGCGUUAUCCGGAUUCAUUGGGCGUAAAGCGCGCGUAGGCGGCCCGGCAGGCCGGGGGUCGAAGCGGGGGGCUCAACCCCCCGAAGCCCCCGGAACCUCCGCGGCUUGGGUCCGGUAGGGGAGGGUGGAACACCCGGUGUAGCGGUGGAAUGCGCAGAUAUCGGGUGGAACGCCGGUGGCGAAGGCGGCCCUCUGGGCCGAGACCGACGCUGAGGCGCGAAAGCUGGGGGAGCGAACAGGAUUAGAUACCCUGGUAGUCCCAGCCGUAAACGAUGGACGCUAGGUGUGGGGGGACGAUCCCCCCGUGCCGCAGCCAACGCAUUAAGCGUCCCGCCUGGGGAGUACGGCCGCAAGGCUAAAACUCAAAUGAAUUGACGGAAGGGCGAAUUCUGC